Molecule: long non-coding RNA, 2254 nt
Organism: Gasterosteus aculeatus aculeatus (three-spined stickleback)
Lineage: Eukaryota; Metazoa; Chordata; Actinopteri; Perciformes; Gasterosteidae
Source: Ensembl
GUGGCCGCGCUGACGCCGGGACGCCGGGAUUGACUCCGCAAUUUAAUUAAUCAACUAUGUCUUUCCCCUCCCAUCUGUUGGCGUCUCUCUCUCUCUCUCUGCUUCCUAAUCGGUUACAAUAAUGACAAAUAAUAACGACACGCUAGUCGAUAACCCCUCCGAUUUAUCUAUGUGCGAUAUAAACUAGAGCAUUUGGAUAGCCUGCUCUUUCGAUUAUAGUAUUAUUGAUUUCUUCCUUAUAUUCCUGGAAAUACAUUUUCCGGCUAUAAUGAAUUCCCCAAAACUAGCUGUAGUAUUCCUAAAGAUCUUUGUCUUUCUUGUUGUUUAUAUAUUUAGACCGAAAGUCUUUAUAGCACAAACUGCUCAGCGCCACCUGAAAUAGCCUCUCAUGAAAAGUUCUCAAGGCCUUUUAUAGUUUAAUUAAGCGUUACUGAUUGUUUAGCCUCGGGGCUCGACGUGAAACCUCUGCACGACGAGACCCGUGAAGGCCGCUUGUCACACGCCAGGUAUUAAAAAGAGAGAGAGAGAGAGAGAGGGAGAGAGAGAGGGAGAGAGGGAGAGAGAUGGGGAGGUGCGAAAGUAGGAAUAGGAAGACCACCGGGCAAAGAGAGCCGGAGAGCAAUGGAGCGCUUCGGUGUCAAUUAACAUACUCAAGUGAUGCCAAAUGUGAUGUUGUAUUGUUUUCUUAUAGUUUGGCAGGUGACAGAACGCACGCAAACUGUCUGUUGAGGGCAGAACCUCAAGCUAAAAUGACGCCCUCCGGUCACGUCACCAUCGUCAUCAUCGUCUAAUCAGGUUCAAGGGAGUCAAACAAUUUAUUGAAAGAAAAACGUGAAACCCCGCCACUGUAGUUUGUUUCUAAAAGCCAUAAGGUUUACCCGAACAUCUCCACAUGUUGACCGCUGUCCUAACCGAGGUCACUGUGUGUCCGCAGGAGCUCGUGGCGUUGGGCUCUUUUAAGUAUGUAUGUACCCAGAUCUAUGUAUGGGUGACUGCAGGCUCUGCACCAAAACCCGGGGCACCAGUUGCACGCAGGCGGUCCUAACAGGGCUUAAUGGUGCCGAGUCGCCCGGCUUUUACCGGGGGCGUCGGAGCGCCGCACCAGAUGCGCACUGAUCUCCGGACAGGAGCCAGUCCAUCUGCCGCCUGACGAGGCAGGGAAAGGCCCCGAAACCCCGCACGGCACAGCCCAGAGGCGAGAAUUUAGAUCAGCCCCAAGGCUCCUCGAUGGACCGCUGCUCCUGGAGGGGGGAGGGGGGCUGAUGGGGCUGGUGCCAUAUUCCUUGAGACAUUUAAUGGCAGAAAAUGAGACAGCGCGGAGAGGCACGUGAUUCGGGUUUUGCUUCAUGUGGGAAUGUUGGCACAAACGGCAAUCGUGGCCUUCAUUAUUGUAAUUUCAUUAAUAUAUAUUUUCACAAUCCUGGCUGUGUAACAUUUCGACCUUAAAUUAUUAUGCUUUUCAAGAAUCAAAAUAGACUAUUUAUCGCUUUUUGGCACAAAUAUCAGAAGAUAUCUGUUGCAGCUCGAGGUUUUGCCUUAAAGAAAGAAUCGCCAAUCGAACAUAUUACAUUUUAAAUCCAGUAUCUCCUAAAACACAUAGUUCCUGAUGUGGAAAAAACCCCAAACAUUUCCCAUGAUGUCACCCCUCUCUUGGAUUUACAGCUCUGAUUGGUUUAAAUGGUUUAUUAGAGGACCACAAUUUAUUUAUAACAGAUCAUUAUACCUUCAGUUAUUUUAGCUUUUUACCAGAGUAAACCGUAAUCCCCUUACUUGUUUAAGACAAUUCUUUGGGUAGACUUGUGUUAUAAUGAGUGUUUCCCUUUCACACAUGCUCUCUCUGGGUUAUUUUAUAUGUCAUUAAUUGUCUGUGUGAAGUGAGAGCACACGUCUGCUUCCUGUCUACGUGCACAUGUGCUGGCCUGGUUUGGCUUUUAAUCAACCCCGGUCAGACACCGGGCUCAUAUGGCCAUGAGCGUCCGUUAACCCGGUCCUGCAUGUGUGUGUGUGUGUGUGUGUGUGUGUGUGUGUGUACCUGCACCUUUCCAGCCAAAAUAACGACUGGCCUAAUGAAGAGCAACUAACAAACGGCCCAUAAGAUGUUUGUCCUCCAUCAACAGCAAAAAAGCAAUUAAGAAAACGGUGUCUGACCUACAUAGAGGAUGCGCCUCGGAAGGAAGCACAGGUUAAUAUGCUAAUAUGGAUCCACUAAUUGGGAGGAUUUACUUGUCGGUUUGCGGCGGGGAGGGGCUAGGGG